This 623-nucleotide ribosomal RNA is filed under the name bacterium SVAL1.48. RNAcentral describes it as "bacterial SSU rRNA". It matches the Rfam family "Bacterial small subunit ribosomal RNA", at positions 56 to 691 of the family's 1533-position model. The record is from RNAcentral.
UGCAGUCGAACGAUGAAGCCGGAGCUUGCUCUGGUGGAUUAGUGGCGAACGGGUGAGUAACACGUGAGUAACCUGCCCUUGACUCUGGGAUAAGCGUUGGAAACGACGUCUAAUACCGGAUACGAGCUGAGACCGCAUGGUCAUUAGCUGGAAAGAAUUUCGGUCAAGGAUGGACUCGCGGCCUAUCAGUUAGUUGGUGAGGUAACGGCUCACCAAGACGACGACGGGUAGCCGGCCUGAGAGGGUGACCGGCCACACUGGGACUGAGACACGGCCCAGACUCCUACGGGAGGCAGCAGUGGGGAAUAUUGCACAAUGGGCGCAAGCCUGAUGCAGCAACGCCGCGUGAGGGACGACGGCCUUCGGGUUGUAAACCUCUUUUAGCAGGGAAGAAGCGAAAGUGACGGUACCUGCAGAAAAAGCACCGGCUAACUACGUGCCAGCAGCCGCGGUAAUACGUAGGGUGCAAGCGUUGUCCGGAAUUAUUGGGCGUAAAGAGCUCGUAGGCGGUUUGUCGCGUCUGCUGUGAAAACGCGAGGCUCAACCUCGCGCCUGCAGUGGGUACGGGCAAACUAGAGUGCGGUAGGGGAGAUUGGAAUUCCUGGUGUAGCGGUGGAAUGCGC